CACCUUAAGUCGGGCAAGCUGGCGGUCGAUCUUUUUUAACUUGCAUUCGUAGUCAUUAAGCCAUCGUUGCUGGGACAAUCCGAGGGUAGAAUCUUUCGAAGAAUUUGAGGAUGGAGAAGCAGAAGGUGUACGCGAUCUUUUUCCCUUCUUGAUACUAUGUACACGGGAAGGAGAGGAAGAAUGUCACGAAGAAUGGGUGGC
Molecule: long non-coding RNA, 201 nt
Filed under: Elaeis guineensis (African oil palm)
Lineage: Eukaryota; Viridiplantae; Streptophyta; Magnoliopsida; Arecales; Arecaceae
Description: long non-coding RNA (EGUI_LNC013142)
Source: RNAcentral